CACAAGAGCCACCUGGGUUAGCUGUCUCUGAUUUUGAGCUGGAAGACUAGAGGGAAGGCAACUAGUCAACAGUGCAACUAGUCAACAGUAUCCACCACCAACUGCUGGGCUGCUCUUAUUAACUAAAGGGAUUUUGCGUUACUAUGACUACGCUGAACGAGUCAGAUCCAGAAUACGCUGAACGGGUCAGAUUCAGAAUACGCUGAACGAGUCAGAUCCAGAAUACACUGAACGAGUCAGAUUCAGAGUACAUUGAACGAGUCAGAUCCAGAAUACGCUGAACGAGUCAGAUUCAGAGUACGUUGAACGAGUCAGAUCCAGACUACGCUGAACGAGUCAGAUUUAGACUACGCUGAACGAGUCAGAUCUGGACUACGCUGAACGAGUCAGACUAACUUACCAAACACGUUAUUCGUAACAAACCAUCCCUUACUCUCGUCCACCAUACAGUCUCGCUGAGCUGACGAUAGGAGAGAACAAAAACAGAUGUUUUCAACAUGAAUAAAUCUUUAUGCGAUUCAGUCAGACAUAGCUGUGUCCAGUUCAGAACUGCUAACCAGAGGGAAGGAACACAGAUAUUACACUGUCUAAUGUGUAGGAACACUGAUGUUACAAUGUCUCAUGAGUCGCAACACUGAUGUUACAGUGUCUCAUGUGUGGGAACACAGAUGUUACAGUGUCUCAUGAGUCGAAACAUUGAUAUUACAGUGUCUCAUGAGCAGGAACACAGAUGUUACAGUGUCUCAUGAGCAGGAACACUGAUGUUACAGUGUCUCAUGAGCAGGAACGCUGAUGUUACAGUGUCUC
This is a long non-coding RNA of Limulus polyphemus (Atlantic horseshoe crab), 807 nucleotides long. RefSeq lists it as uncharacterized. Lineage: Eukaryota; Metazoa; Arthropoda; Merostomata; Xiphosura; Limulidae. The record is from RefSeq and is a predicted model, not a curated record. The transcript has 3 exons.